AAAAAAGAAAACAUGAGGCUGGAUCUAGAUCUAGAUCUUUACGGGUCGCACACUUAAAAUAGUGCUCAGUAUUAGUGGUACCGGCGAAAUUCAGUGUCGGUACUUUCUGGGCACCAGGGCACCGGUACCGGUAAUGGGAGUGACUCCAGUAGUUGACGUCACAGACUUCGCGUCUUGCGUCAAGGGAUGGGCAGAUACCGGUACCCAGUACCGGAACUCUCGGUCCUACCGAAGGAGGUGUCAGUACCGGCACCUGGCCUCCAGUACCGUUGUCGUAGAAUAUUUUGGAACCAGGAUAAAUCGGAACUGUUUCCCAAAAAUCCUAGGAUAUUUCGGAACCAUUCUCAUUUAUCCUGCACCUGGCGGCAGGAUAUUUGGGAACUUCCAGGAUAUUUCGGAACCACCGCCAUCCCUGUGUGAUACGCAGUGUCUCACACUUCACAAUCAAAGGAAACAGACAAAUGAAUAAAAAUAAACAUUUUUAUUGGCAACUUUCAAACCCACAUUCAUUACAUUAUUGAAAUGCUACGUGAAAACAUAGAACCAGAGAACAAAAUGACACAUCCUUGGCAGCUUUAUAUGUGUACAUUUGGCUCACAGGCUUCAACAAAAAACUUGGCAAUGUAUCUUUUCAGUACACACUUCAAACGUUCAAAAGCAUCAAAAUAAAAGUUUU
Long non-coding RNA from Aplysia californica (California sea hare), 676 nucleotides. RefSeq lists it as uncharacterized. NCBI's taxonomy places the organism in Eukaryota, Metazoa, Mollusca, Gastropoda, Aplysiida, Aplysiidae. The record is from RefSeq and is a predicted model, not a curated record. The transcript has 2 exons.